Molecule: ribosomal RNA, 253 nt
Filed under: uncultured bacterium
Lineage: Bacteria
Description: partial 16S ribosomal RNA
Rfam family: Bacterial small subunit ribosomal RNA
Source: RNAcentral
UACGAAGGAUGCAAGCGUUAUCCGGAAUCACUGGGCGUAAAGCGCGUGUAGGCGGCCUGCGAAGUCUGAUGUGAAAGCCCGGGGCUCACCCCCGGAAGUGCAUUGGAAACUGGCAGGCUCGAGUCCCGGAGAGGAGGGUGGAAUUCCUGGUGUAGCGGUGAAAUGCGUAGAUAUCAGGAGGAACACCGGUGGCGAAGGCGGCCCUCUGGACGGUGACUGACGCUGAGACGCGAAAGCGUGGGGAGCAAACAGG